GGCCUUAUUUGUAGAUUGCACACUCUUUCUUUAUAUUCUUUGCGAGUCGAGGACUUGAAGAAGUUUAAUGAUAAAGUAGACGACCUUACAGCCAUAGGUGUUGACAUGUCUCCGUUUCGUGAUAGAUUGACUCUUCUCAAGUCAAAUUUUGAUCUUGUUUCAUUACGUUCAGAGGUUGCUGUACGUAAGUGUGAAGAUGAAUCCUUUUCAGUGCAGCUUUCUGAGCUUGAUGAAGCCGCCAACAAAUUGAAGAUUCAGUCUCAAGAUUUAGAGGGCCGACUUCGGGAGGUAGGGCGCCAGCGACGGGACUUAGAGUCAACUACCCAACAAGUUAGGGAACUGAAAGCUGCAAAUCUUAAGAUUCGAGAUGCUGCCGUUGCUGAUUUAGAAGCUUUAGUUGUGCCUCCACUUCAUUUUGAUAUGUCUUGGCCUUUAGAUCAUAACUUGUUGUAGUAG
RNAcentral lists this long non-coding RNA (456 nucleotides) under Panax ginseng (ginseng). RNAcentral's name for it is "long non-coding RNA (PGIN_LNC009140)". Lineage: Eukaryota; Viridiplantae; Streptophyta; Magnoliopsida; Apiales; Araliaceae. The record is from RNAcentral.